Molecule: ribosomal RNA, 253 nt
Filed under: uncultured bacterium
Lineage: Bacteria
Description: partial 16S ribosomal RNA
Rfam family: Bacterial small subunit ribosomal RNA
Source: RNAcentral
GACAGAGGGGGCAAGCGUUGCUCGGAAUCACUGGGCGUAAAGGGCGCGUAGGCGGGACGCCAAGUCGGUCGUGAAAUCUCCGGGCUCAACCCGGAGGAGUCGGCCGAAACUGGUGUUCUUGAGGGAGGCAGAGGAGUCUGGAAUUCCCGGUGUAGCGGUGAAAUGCGCAGAUAUCGGGAGGAACACCUAUGGCGAAGGCAGCUCGCUGGGACGUUACUGACGCUGAGACGCGAAAGCGUGGGGAGCAAACAGG